Molecule: ribosomal RNA, 234 nt
Filed under: uncultured bacterium
Lineage: Bacteria
Description: partial 16S ribosomal RNA
Rfam family: Bacterial small subunit ribosomal RNA
Source: RNAcentral
ACCUGCCUUAUAGUGGGGGAUAGCCUUUCGAAAGGAAGAUUAAUACCGCAUAAGAUUGUAGUAUCGCAUGAUAUAGCAAUUAAAGGAGCAAUCCGCUAUAAGAUGGACCCCGCGUCGCAUUAGCUAGUUGGUGAGGUAAUGGCUCACCAAGGCGACGAUGCGUAGCCGACCUGAGAGGGUGAUCGGCCACAUUGGGACUGAGACACGGCCCAGACUCCUACGGGAGGCAGCAUG